GAUGAACGCUGGCGGCGUGCCUAAUACAUGCAAGUCGAGCGAACGGACGAGAAGCUUGCUUCUCUGAUGUUAGCGGCGGACGGGUGAGUAACACGUGGAUAACCUACCUAUAAGACUGGGAUAACUUCGGGAAACCGGAGCUAAUACCGGAUAAUAUUUUGAACCGCAUGGUUCAAAAGUGAAAGACGGUCUUGCUGUCACUUAUAGAUGGAUCCGCGCUGCAUUAGCUAGUUGGUAAGGUAACGGCUUACCAAGGCAACGAUGCAUAUCCGACCUGAGAGGGUGAUCGGCCAGACUGGAACUGCGACACGGUCCAGACUCCUACGGGAGGCAGCAGUAGGGAAUCUUCAGCAAUGGGCGAAAGCCUGACGGAGCAACGACGCGUGAGUGAUGAAGGUCUUCGGAUCGUAAAACUCUGUUAUUAGGGAAGAACAUAUGUGUAAGUAACUGUGCACAUCUUGACGGUACCUAAUCAGAAAGCCACGGCUAACUACGUG
Molecule: ribosomal RNA, 497 nt
Filed under: uncultured bacterium
Lineage: Bacteria
Description: partial 16S ribosomal RNA
Rfam family: Bacterial small subunit ribosomal RNA
Source: RNAcentral